Molecule: small RNA, 836 nt
Filed under: Arabidopsis thaliana (thale cress)
Lineage: Eukaryota; Viridiplantae; Streptophyta; Magnoliopsida; Brassicales; Brassicaceae
Description: ATSL278120
Source: RNAcentral
AUUAAACCAACAUCUAUAACCAGAAAUAACCAACAUCAAUAACCGGUUAUAUCUGCAAUAUACCCCCUCAAAUCUCUAUCUUUUAAAUGUCUCGUUUGGAAGGUAGAGAUUUGACAACGACAUUUGCUUCAGAAGAUGGUGGAAAGGACCUGGAUGUAAAGACUUUGUAAGAAUGUCAGCAUGCUGAUUCUCAGUCGGAACAUGUAAGGCUUUGAGAUUUCCAGCUUUAAUUUGAUCCCUUACCGUGUGACAAUCGAUCUCAAUGUGCUUAGUUCUCUCGUGGAAGACCGGAUUCAUCGAGAUGUGUAGAGCAGACUUAUUGUCACAAAAUAAUUUUGCAGGACAAGUAACUUGAAUAUACAGAUCCUUGAGCAACUACUGUAGCCAAAUCACUUCACAAGUAGCUUGUGCCAUAGCCAUGUACUCAGACUCAGCACUACUUCGACUAGCAACUGCCUGUUUCUUAGACUUCCAAGAGAUGAGUGAAGUACCUAAAUAAACACAGAAGCCUGAUACUGAACGUCUAGUAUCUUUGCAAGCUUCCCAAUCUGCAUCAGAGAAUGCAUUCAAACACAAUUCAACAUUUGCAGAGAACAUCAAUCCUUGACCUGGAUUCGUCUUGAUAUAUCGGAGAACCUUAUGAGCUGCUUGAAGAUGAAUAUCAGUAGGAGCUGAAAUGAACUGACUCAGUUGAUGAACCGCAAAUGUUAUAUCUGGUCUUGUAAUAGUGAGAUAAAGCAGUCGACCAAUGAGUUCCCUAUAAGUAGUUGGAUUUGGUAAUAGAGUUCCAUAUCUUUAACCAAAUGCAGAUUCGGAUCCAUAGGUAUCAAACUUGG